CAGCCGCCGCGGUAAUACAGAGGGUGCGAGCGUUAAUCGGAUUUACUGGGCGUAAAGCGUGCGUAGGCGGCUUUUUAAGUCGGAUGUGAAAUCCCUGAGCUUAACUUAGGAAUUGCAUUCGAUACUGGGAAGCUAGAGUAUGGGAGAGGAUGGUAGAAUUCCAGGUGUAGCGGUGAAAUGCGUAGAGAUCUGGAGGAAUACCGAUGGCGAAGGCAGCCAUCUGGCCUAAUACUGACGCUGAGGUACGAAAGCAUGGGGAGCAAAUAGGAUUAGAUACCCCCGUAGUCCCUGUCUCUUAUAC
This 301-nucleotide ribosomal RNA is filed under the name uncultured bacterium. RNAcentral's name for it is "partial 16S ribosomal RNA". It matches the Rfam family "Bacterial small subunit ribosomal RNA", at positions 509 to 807 of the family's 1533-position model. The record is from RNAcentral.